RNAcentral lists this ribosomal RNA (294 nucleotides) under Flavobacterium xanthum. Its description in RNAcentral is "16S rRNA. Bacterial SSU". It matches the Rfam family "Bacterial small subunit ribosomal RNA", at positions 1 to 296 of the family's 1533-position model. The record is from RNAcentral. Lineage: Bacteria; Pseudomonadati; Bacteroidota; Flavobacteriia; Flavobacteriales; Flavobacteriaceae.
AUACGAUGAAGAGUUUGAUCCUGGCUCAGGAUGAACGCUAGCGGCAGGCUUAACACAUGCAAGUCGAGGGGUAUAGUUCUUCGGAAUUAGAGACCGGCGCACGGGUGCGUAACGCGUAUGCAAUCUACCUUUCACAAAGGGAUAGCCCAGAGAAAUUUGGAUUAAUACCUUAUAGUAUAUCGAGUUGGCAUCAACAUGAUAUUAAAGAUUUAUCGGUGAAAGAUGAGCAUGCGUCCCAUUAGUUAGUUGGUAAGGUAACGGCUUACCAAGACAACGAUGGGUAGGGGUCCUGAG